CGCGGUAUCUUGACCGUGCGAAGGUAGUGUAAUCAUUAGUCUUUUAAUUGAGGGCUCGAAUGAAAGGUCGGACGAGAAAUAAACUGUCUUUAUUGGAAAAAUGGAGUUUAACUUUUAAGUGAAAAGGCUUAAAUAUUCUAGAGGGACGAUAAGACCCUAUAAAGUUUGACAUUUUAUUUAUUAAAAGAUAAGAAUAGGUAGAAUAGCUUUUAUUAGUGAGAAUAAUGUUUGGUUGGGGUGGCCGAAAUAUAAGGAAUUUAACUGUUUUAUGUUAACACAAAUAUAUUUGUGUUAGUUGAUCCUUAGUAAAGAUGUUAGAGUAAAUUACUUUAGGGAUAACAGCGUAAUUUUUUUUGAGAGUUCUUAUUGACAAAAAAGUUUGCGACCUCGAUGUUGAAUUAAAGAAUUCUUUAUGGCGCAGCAGUUGUACCCGAAGGUCUGUUCGA
This 446-nucleotide ribosomal RNA is filed under the name Engaeus urostrictus. RNAcentral describes it as "partial 16S ribosomal RNA". It matches the Rfam family "Bacterial large subunit ribosomal RNA", at positions 1932 to 2584 of the family's 2925-position model. The record is from RNAcentral. Lineage: Eukaryota; Metazoa; Arthropoda; Malacostraca; Decapoda; Parastacidae.